This 253-nucleotide ribosomal RNA is filed under the name uncultured bacterium. Its description in RNAcentral is "partial 16S ribosomal RNA". It matches the Rfam family "Bacterial small subunit ribosomal RNA", at positions 524 to 776 of the family's 1533-position model. The record is from RNAcentral.
UACGUAGGGGGCUAGCGUUGUCCGGAAUCAUUGGGCGUAAAGCGCGCGUAGGUGGUCAUGUAAGUCCGCUGUGAAAGUCAAAGGCUCAACCUUUGAAAGCCGGUGGAUACUGCAUGACUAGAGUACGGAAGAGGCGAGUGGAAUUCCUGGUGUAGCGGUGGAAUGCGCAGAUAUCAGGAGGAACACCAAUAGCGAAGGCAGCUCGCUGGGACGUUACUGACACUGAGGCGCGAAAGCGUGGGGAGCGAACAGG